RNAcentral lists this non-coding RNA (433 nucleotides) under Triticum aestivum (bread wheat). Its description in RNAcentral is "Archaeal large subunit ribosomal RNA". It matches the Rfam family "Bacterial large subunit ribosomal RNA", at positions 2429 to 2925 of the family's 2925-position model. RNAcentral also lists the same sequence under 1 other name. The record is from Rfam by way of RNAcentral. Lineage: Eukaryota; Viridiplantae; Streptophyta; Magnoliopsida; Poales; Poaceae.
CCGAGUGGAAGGGCCGUCGCUCAACUCAACGGUUAAAAAUUACUCUAGAGAUAACAGGGCGAUCUUCCCCAAGAGUCCACACUAAGGGAAGGUUUGGCACCUCGAUGUCGGCUCUCCGCCACCUGGAGCUGGAGGUUGUUCCAAGGGUUGGGUUGUUCGUCCAUUAAUGUUGUACGUGAGCUCGGUUCAGAACGUCGUGAGAUAAUUCGGUCUGUAUCCAGUGUGGGCAUUAGAGCAUUGAGAUGACAUUUCCCUAGUACGAGAGGACCGGGAAUGGCGCACCACCUCUGGUGUACCAGUUAUUGUGCCUACAGUAAACGUUGUGUAGCCAAGUGCGGAGAGGGUAAAUUGUCGAAAGCAUAUAAGUAGUAAGCCCACCCCAAGAUGAGUGCUCUCCCCUUCGACUUCCCUAGAGCCUCUGGUAUCAUAGUCG